This is a long non-coding RNA of Daphnia pulicaria, 859 nucleotides long. RefSeq lists it as uncharacterized. The transcript has 2 exons. Lineage: Eukaryota; Metazoa; Arthropoda; Branchiopoda; Diplostraca; Daphniidae. The record is from RefSeq and is a predicted model, not a curated record.
UAUUUUACAUAGAGUUUGGUAUCAAUCCUUCUUUUGUUUAUGUAUGCCUGUUAUUAUGUAAUAUUUAUGAUAAAAUUUAUAAUUGUCUAGCAAACUAUGGCGUAGUGCUGCUGUUGUGUGUUGAAUCAUUGAUGGCUGGGUCGACCACUGGUGUACCGAUGUCUUCUUGGUAUGGCUGAUACCAAACCGCAACGCCGCUGCCUUACUACUCAAAAGCAACUUAUGCAACGACCAGUUACUGCACCGAGGUCUUCAAGUACUACACCACUAAAGCAUCGGACUUUAAUAGCACAACUUACGCUGCCCCGAGCCACUACACUGACGCCCUGAAGUAUUACUCUGCCCCGAGUUACUACACCACCAAGGCGACGGAGGAUGACCACGCAUUCUGCCCCAUCCUACUACACCGAGACUCCUAACUGCUACACCGAGGCUCCCACUGAUUAGUACACCGAAGCGGCAAGUACUACUCUGCCCCGAUCUACACAACCAUAACUGAGGCGGCCAAGUAUUACGAUGUCCCGACUUACUGCACAGAAGCUGCUCUUUCGUGCUACGUUGAACAGAAAUACUACACUGAUGCUCAAAUCUACUACACCACGGCCUACGCUACACCUAGCUACAACACCGCAGCCCCCAGUACUACACCGAAGAAGCCGCCUAUUACACAACUACGUACGCUGCCUAGUUUACUACAUCGACGAAAUUAAGUAUUGCCCUGCUCGAAACUACUACCAACUUAGGUUCAUAUUUAUUGCAAUUUCCACGAUUAUGUCACCACUGCUCCGACCUAUACACCUAACUUCUGAAGUAUUUUUCUGUAUGUGUUGAAAGAUUGCUGAAAUACAAGAUUGAUUGA